Molecule: small nuclear RNA, 233 nt
Filed under: Octodon degus (degu)
Lineage: Eukaryota; Metazoa; Chordata; Mammalia; Rodentia; Octodontidae
Description: 7SK RNA (ENSODEG00000022361.1)
Rfam family: 7SK RNA
About the family: 7SK was discovered as an abundant small nuclear RNA in the mid-70s but a possible function has only recently been suggested. Two independent studies have found that 7SK RNA binds the CDK9/cyclin T complex (known as elongation factor P-TEFb). P-TEFb activates transcription by phosphorylating the C-terminal domain of RNA polymerase II.
Source: Rfam by way of RNAcentral
UGACUAAUUGCUCAAUGUGCAUCCCUCCUGAAGCUGCAAGCUAGGUGACAAGUGGUGACCACACAGAUAGAGGAGGAAUGUUUCCUUGGUGAAGGGCAUACAAGUAGCAGCUCUCCCUAGGCAGAACCUCCAAAGAAGCUCUCAAGUACCUUACUCAGUGAUAGAGCUCAGAGGAGAAAACUGUCAUUGGUAAAAUCACUCCUAACACCUACUGGUGACCUUCAAGCCUGCCA